UUUACAUGAUGCCACUGCCGUGGUUAGUAUUCCUUGCUUUUCCUUGUGUUUUCGGCAUAGGAUUUUGAACUUAAUUGGUUCUAGUCACUUGAAUGCAUGCUAAAUUUUAAAUUUUCUUAUGCUUGUUUGAUAGCUAAUCAAACUAAUGUGUCUGUGUUAUUUGCUGCUUUUAUUUAUUUGGUGCUCUUGCAUAUAAUGGUUUAAAGAUUCUUUUUUUCCUAUUGAACAUGUUGAGUUCAUGCGGCGAACCACCUUGGGGGCCAAGAACGUCAGUAACUAAUAGAAGAUGUGUCAGACAUACGAUACUGUUGCUUUAAUAGAAGUGUUUAUUCAGUUAUUGUGUGUUUAACUGUUGAUCUAAUUUUUUUGGCAUUCAUAUUUGUAAUUAAAAUAGGCUGGGUCGGGUAUUGGUGGAA
This 416-nucleotide unclassified non-coding RNA is filed under the name Hevea brasiliensis (rubber tree). The record is from RNAcentral. Lineage: Eukaryota; Viridiplantae; Streptophyta; Magnoliopsida; Malpighiales; Euphorbiaceae.